This 1343-nucleotide ribosomal RNA is filed under the name uncultured bacterium. RNAcentral's name for it is "16S ribosomal RNA". It matches the Rfam family "Bacterial small subunit ribosomal RNA", at positions 28 to 1378 of the family's 1533-position model. The record is from RNAcentral.
GACGAACGCUGGCGGCGUGCUUAACACAUGCAAGUCGAACGGAAAGGCCCUGCUUUUGUGGGGUGCUCGAGUGGCGAACGGGUGAGUAACACGUGAGUAACCUGCCCUUGACUUUGGGAUAACUUCAGGAAACUGGGGCUAAUACCGGAUAGGAGCUCCUGCUGCAUGGUGGGGGUUGGAAAGUUUCGGCGGUUGGGGAUGGACUCGCGGCUUAUCAGCUUGUUGGUGGGGUAGUGGCUUACCAAGGCUUUGACGGGUAGCCGGCCUGAGAGGGUGACCGGCCACAUUGGGACUGAGACACGGCCCAGACUCCUACGGGAGGCAGCAGUGGGGAAUAUUGCACAAUGGGCGGAAGCCUGAUGCAGCAACGCCGCGUGCGGGAUGACGGCCUUCGGGUUGUAAACCGCUUUCGCCUGUGACGAAGCGUGAGUGACGGUAAUGGGUAAAGAAGCACCGGCUAACUACGUGCCAGCAGCCGCGGUGAUACGUAGGGUGCGAGCGUUGUCCGGAUUUAUUGGGCGUAAAGGGCUCGUAGGUGGUUGAUCGCGUCGGAAGUGUAAUCUUGGGGCUUAACCCUGAGCGUGCUUUCGAUACGGGUUGACUUGAGGAAGGUAGGGGAGAAUGGAAUUCCUGGUGGAGCGGUGGAAUGCGCAGAUGUCAGGAGGAACACCAGUGGCGAAGGCGGUUCUCUGGGCCUUUCCUGACGCUGAGGAGCGAAAGCGUGGGGAGCGAACAGGCUUAGAUACCCUGGUAGUCCACGCUGUAAACGGUGGGUACUAGGUGUGGGGUCCAUUCCACGGGUUCCGUGCCGUAGCUAACGCUUUAAGUACCCCGCCUGGGGAGUACGGCCGCAAGGCUAAAACUCAAAGGAAUUGACGGGGCCCCGCACAAGCGGCGGAGCAUGCGGAUUAAUUCGAUGCAACGCGUAGAACCUUACCUGGGUUUGACAUGGAUCGGGAGCGCUCAGAGAUGGGUGUGCCUCUUUUGGGGUCGGUUCACAGGUGGUGCAUGGCUGUCGUCAGCUCGUGUCGUGAGAUGUUGGGUUAAGUCCCGCAACGAGCGCAACCCUUGUUCACUGUUGCCAGCACGUUAUGGUGGGGACUCAGUGGAGACCGCCGGGGUCAACUCGGAGGAAGGUGGGGAUGACGUCAAGUCAUCAUGCCCCUUAUGUCCAGGGCUUCACGCAUGCUACAAUGGCUGGUACAGAGAGUGGCGAGCCUGUGAGGGUGAGCGAAUCUCGGAAAGCCGGUCUCAGUUCGGAUUGGGGUCUGCAACUCGACCUCAUGAAGUCGGAGUCGCUAGUAAUCGCAGAUCAGCAACGCUGCGGUGAAUACGUUCCCGGG